AGUGAACGCUGGCGGUAGGCCUAACACAUGCAAGUCGAACGGCAGCACAGUAAGAGCUUGCUCUUACGGGUGGCGAGUGGCGGACGGGUGAGGAAUACAUCGGAAUCUACUUUUUCGUGGGGGAUAACGUAGGGAAACUUACGCUAAUACCGCAUACGACCUACGGGUGAAAGCAGGGGAUCUUCGGACCUUGCGCGAUUGAAUGAGCCGAUGUCGGAUUAGCUAGUUGGCGGGGUAAAGGCCCACCAAGGCGACGAUCCGUAGCUGGUCUGAGAGGAUGAAGAGCCCCACUGGAACUGGGACAGGGCCCAGACCCCCAGGGGGGGCAGCAGGGGGGAAAUUUGGACAAGGGGCGGAAGCCUGACCCGCCCAUACCGGGGGGGUAAAGAAGGCCUUGGGGUUGUAAAGCCCUUUUGUUGGGAAAAAAAAGCAGCAGGUUAAUCCCCCGCUUUUCUGAGGGUACCAAAAAAAAAAGCACCGGCAAAUUUCUG
This 491-nucleotide ribosomal RNA is filed under the name uncultured bacterium. Its description in RNAcentral is "partial 16S ribosomal RNA". It matches the Rfam family "Bacterial small subunit ribosomal RNA", at positions 29 to 506 of the family's 1533-position model. The record is from RNAcentral.